Molecule: long non-coding RNA, 7511 nt
Filed under: Lactuca sativa (garden lettuce)
Lineage: Eukaryota; Viridiplantae; Streptophyta; Magnoliopsida; Asterales; Asteraceae
Description: long non-coding RNA (LSAT_LNC009703)
Source: RNAcentral
UCCAAAGACCCACUUUUUCAAUCUUAAUUAUACGACUUGUAUACCCGAGAUUGUGAUUGAUGAACCAGGUAUGAGUUCUACUAUGAACGUCAGGACGGUGACUGCCCAAGACUCCGAGUGAUCGUGCUUCUGUAAGAAUAAACUUAGAAAUACCUAUCCUUUUCCGUAAUUCAUGAGUAGUCAUACUUUCUUUUAGAUCUUCACGACAGCUAAUCCACCCCAAGGUUUUGACGUCAUAAUCAGUGGAAGUUGAUUAAGUCUACAUCGAGCCGACAUCAGAUGCUUUGAUAAAGCAGUUCAUCCUAACCUCCCUAAACAACGAAGCCCUAGUUAUUUACAGCGACGAACCAAGUACGAACCCUCUCAUCAUUUCGUGUAUGCAAGCUCAAAAAUGCUUACGAAAGGAAUAUCAUGCAUUCCUUGCACACAUCGCCGAGACGUGCCGAGAAGUGAAGGACAUUCAGAACAUCCAAGAAGUACGCGGUUUUCCCGACACCUUUCCAGAAGGACUACCGAGAUUACCACCAUAGCAUCAAGCGGAAUUCAGAAUCGACUUAGUUCCAGGGGCUACCCCAGUAGCCAAAUCACAUUAUUGUCUAGCUCCAACCACGAUGCAAGGACUUCCUAGAGAGCUUAACAAACUCCUUAGAAGGAGAUUCUUUAGGACAAGUUUCUCACCAUGAGGAGCACCAGACUUGUCUGUAAACAAGAAAGAGCGUUCCAAAUGCUAAAGUAAGCCUGAUGCACCGCACCAAAAUUAUCCCUCCCAAAAGGGGAUAGAAGAUUUUGUGGUGUAAUGCGAUGCAUCCAUCCAAGGGAUUGGUUGUGUUCUUAUGCAAGAGGAAAGGUCACUACCUAUACCUCAAGACAGGUUAAGACACAGGAAGUUAACUAUUCAACACAUGAUCUUGAGUCAGGAGCAGCGGUAAUUGCUCUGAAGAUCUGGAGACACUACUUGUAGGGUACAAGGUUUACUAUGUUCACAGACCACAAAAACAUUCAACAUACAUUCGACCAAGAAGAGUUAUCACCCUAGUGAAGGCAAGCGAAAGAAGCAAAGUCGUAUCCCAAUAGUGAAAGGUUCGCUGGAAUGCCAAGCGAGGACCAGAAUUCACUUAAGAACAUGAGUAGCAAAUAAAACUUCUAUCCCUAGAAUGAUUAUUAAUUCUGCUUAAACUCAAAUUUCGAGACGAAAUUUCCUCUAACAGGGGGAUGAUGAGACAACCCGAUAUUUUGAGACAAUAAAAUGUAACACCAGUCAAAUUUAGGCCAAAAUAUAACUUUCCUAAAAAUAUUAUUUGGGUUAGAUAAAGUAGUAGGAAUCAUAUCAAGGUUUUCGUACAUAUAAAGAAUCCUAAAAUCCGAGUUAUAACGGAGAAGUUAUGACCAAUUGAAGAUUCUCGGAAAAACCAGGCAACACCGAUUUAGCGAAAAACGAGAAGUUUCAAUACAAUGAUUUUUAACCUUAGGUAUCUAAACGAAAGUUGUAGAUUUCAUUAAACCGUGAUCAUGCAUAAAAAGAACGCUCAAAACGGACAUCGUAUGAACAAGUAACAAAUUUUCUAAGUAUUGUAACAGCGGUAGACAGCUAAAAACUCGAAAUAAAGAUCGAGCGAUUUUUAGCCGACACAACUUAAACGAGAGUUGAAGGCCUCGACAAUAGUAGUUCGAUGGUAAAAAGACAACCAAAAACGAACGUCGGAUAAGGAAGUUAUGGAUUUUUAAUGAAGUUAUCGUGUCCCAGCCUAUUAAUUAAAAUAUAAUUAAAAAUAAAGUCAAAAUUAGCCAACGGACUCUAAAUGAAAGUUGUAGAGUAUUUUCUCAGCUUCGCGUGGAUAUAAAGAACAUCGAAACCGGAGCUUGUAUGCGAAAAUUACGCAUUUUAGAAGUUCUUGGCAUGCAUUUCAAAGCCUUAUCUGAAGGAGUACGCCCAGCGUACUGAAUGAAGGGCCCCGGAUCGUCCACGUCGACCAAAGGCUUCGCCCGAGGAUGCGGUCAGCAGUGAUGCAAGCGAACGCCCAAUGUAACCUCGGAGUACGCCCAGCGUAAGUCCGAAGUACGCCCAUCGUACGAGGCCUCUCACACCCCUAUAAAUAGAAUGCGAGGGUGUUGGCCAUCCUUGCUCAUUUUCUUCACUUCUCUCACAUUUUCAUCUCGUUUUUCAUGCCAACAAUAUCCUGACUUCCCGGUAUCAUAUCUAAGCCCCGACGAAGGUCUGAAGCCCCGAGUUUCUCCAAAAACUCGCCACUUUCCAGUCGAGGUGCCGCUCGAGAAAAAGCUCGUUUUCUUCAAAUCACGCACUUUCUUCGGUGAGUUCAUACCCCUAUAAAGUACAUUUUCAAAUGUGUUAUCAAUACUUUUUAUACACUUUUAAGGGAGGGAAUACAAGUAAACACACGAUUAUUGUCGUGUGUUACAUAAAGUUUCACUAUAUACUCUUUUUAUCAAGUUAAUCAUAUGUGAAUAAUAACUACUACAUAGAAACUUUCGUACGCAAAAUAUAUCACGAUAACAUCUUGUCUUUUCAAAUUAAAUAUAUUGUUAUACAUAUACGAAUCAAACACUUUAUUUAUACUUUGAGUAUAUGUGUUCAUUUAUGUCACUACAAAAGUUACACUUUGCAUAACAAGCGAGCAUUUCACUAGUGUUUACUAUACAAACGAAACAAAUUUUUGGAAAAACCAUAAUAGUUUACGACAAACAUUUUUACAUGUUAAAAACUCUUUAUCAAACUGUCUUACAUACUUUAUGUUUCCUUUUAAACGCUGUUAGAAUCGUGUUUCAAACAAAGAUCUUCUUAUACUUAAAAUUGUUCUUAUCAAACAAACUACUUUCAAAUCGUUUUAUAAACUGACAUCAAGUCAUCAUUUCUUAUUUAUUAAACUUUUCAAAGGUUUUACAAAACUUCUUUUAUACUUUUAUAUUGUCAAUUGCAUGCCUAUAUAUGUAUAGUUAUAUAAGUAAUGUUUAAAGGACUUAGGAAGGCUAGCUCGCUUUAUCUCUUUUUCCUCAUUGGGAUGUGGCUUUAGGGCAUCGGUUAUCUGUCCGAAGGUCGUCUAAAUAUUAGUUAUAUAUUAGGUAUACAUAUAUAGACAUAAAAGUUUCUAUCAAUUGGUUCAGUCCCUUUGGGUAGCAAAGGCAUACUUCGGUUAUACACGUAAAAUACUAGUAACUAUAAUAGGUAUAGUUAGGAUAUACUACUUACCAUUCCAAGUACAAGGAAUCAUAAAAGAGUCAGUUUAUUUAUGAGUUUACACUAAUACAUUACAUACUUUAUGAAGAGAUACUAUUACAUACAAUUACAAGGCAUACAAUUUCAAGACAUACAACUACAAGAGAUACGAUUACAUAAGAUAGUGUACUAGAUAUUUAUGAAAUUUUACAUACUACAAGUACCAUAUCAAAGAGAUAUUUUCAUAUACAAGAACAAAUGGACAUUUUCAUACGUAAAUCUGUUUUAUACUAGGUUUUGUGAGACAUUUCACGUACUUUCGAGUAUGCAUUAUUAAGUCCUGUAUUAUAUACCAUAAUCCCUUGUAGGGGGAGCGUGAUACUUGUGUAUAGAUCUAUACGGGAUUGACAAUCCCNNNNNNNNNNNNNNNNNNNNNNNNNNNNNNNNNNNNNNCAGGUCUGGGGUGACAAACGUCAUAACAUUCCAAUGCCUGAAGAACGUUGUUACAGGCAGUCUGGGUCAUUAGCAUGGUUAUAAAGCUCACAUGGAGUAUUAAAAACACGUUGAUUUACGGGGUUAUCAAAUACCUUAGCGAGUUUAUACGUACGCAAAUCUACUAUUUUAGGCAUGAAAAACACCAUGGUAGUUCAUUUUUGGGACUUUUAAACUACCACUAGAUUAUGGGCAAACAUUGGAUUUCUAAAAGCAAACGUUCAAAACAGUUGGGUCUUGGCAGAAGGCUACUUUUUAUACUAGUAGAAAAUAUGGGAUUCUCUAGGGUUUUCAAAUGUUUACAAUUACUUACAAACAUGUUCAUUGGUACAAACUUUCCUUCAAACAUUUACAGGUCUUUCUUUACAGCUUUACAAAUCAAAGUCACAUAAAUACUUAUGAAUUCACCAGCAUUAUUGCUGAUACUCGCUUUCAAAAUAACUUGUAUUCCCAGGUCACAAAUAGACAGGUUCGACUACCAGGUUUUGUGAAGACAGAGCGGUCAAGACUCGUCUUUUAUUUUGUAAUAUCGAUUUUGUAGAAUUAUACUAUGAAAGAACUCACAUGUAAUUAAAAUUAUACUAUUAAUGCAAUGGAUGAUGUUGUUGCUUGUUUACUACUUUGCAUUGUUGUGAUACGUUACAUGACGUCCUCUGCCCCAGAACGUUUCCGCCGUUCUUGGUUUUGGGGUGUGACAGAUUGGUAUCAGAGCAUUGUUUAUAGUGAAUUGAGUAUAUCAACCCAUAAAAGAUAUACAAACUAUAAAUACAAUAGGGAUUAAAAUACUCUGAUAAAGAGUCUAUACUUUUAAAUAAUAAAAUAUUUAAUUAAGUAUACAUGCCUGCAUUCAUACUAAAUCAGUGUCACUAGGACAGAACAAAAGUAUUAUGAUUGUUGGGCAGCACAAGUAGACUUGGAGACAUAUAGUCGAAACUGGGAUGAUAUAGCCUGAUCAAGUAUAUUAUCCGAGGGUUGACUAGUAUGUGCCUAAGUGUGGUUGUGAGUUGCAACAAGUCUAAAAACUUACCCACAAUACCACAAUAAGAACAAUAGAACAUAAACCUAAAAUACUAUAGGAGUAUUUUGUGUAUUACUAUAAACUACUUAUGUGUUAGAUUCUUAUACCCCAAUUAUCGCAUAGAUAACAUAGCUGGACCCCAUUCCCACGACGACCCGUACUUCCUGAACGUAGGCAAUACUGGAUGGUUCAAAGAAGAACCAGAGAAUGAUCAUCCAAUCCUUUUUGAAUGAUCACCAUGUUGAAGACCUUUCGGGUGAUGAUAACUCCGAACUCGAGGAUGAGAACCUACCCCUGGUAGCUCCCAAUUCAAACCCUAACCCUCGUCCAACUCUUCAUGGCUCGACGCUUCCUUGGGUAGAAUGCUUGGAAACAUGGAGUGAAGAGCAAGAUCAACCUAUGCCGUCUAAAGGAGACCGAAGCUGCUACAACUUAAGUGAAGGGAGCUCAGCAGACAAAGUUCUACAAAUCUUGAUCCGUAGAGUUGCCUGAAAUGAAAUUUAGGGUAGGACGACUCUCCAUUAUAUCGAAGAGGUUAAAUGCCAAUGCAAGAAUGCAUACCAUCCACACCAAUCGUCUUGAAAACACUCGUGAGAGAUCUGAGAGAGACCAUGAGACCCUGCUGCAAGCAUUAGCUAAAACACGAGCCGAAGUCAUAGAGCUACGAGUACGCCGGAGAGCAUACGAAAGACACCUGCUUGAUAAUGGAACGUCAAUUGGCUGAACUAAGAGUUCACCAAAAGGAUGACCGCCGCCAGUAAGAAAUACUUUAUUUCCCUUCCUUGUUUAAAGGAAUCGUUUUCCUGUGUAUGUCCUAUGUAGCAUUUUUCUAUGUAACUAUCUUGUACUGAAAGUAUGGUUAGUUAGGCCUUUAUGCGGCCAAAACCUUUCUACUCCGGAUAUGAUGUAAGACCUUCUUCAAGAUAAAAUUUUCCUAAACUUAUUACAUCUUAAACAUCGAUGAUAUUAACAUUCGGCUAACUUCCGUGUCACUCUUUGUUCAAAAACCCUCAUCAUACCAUCGUUGGAGUUUAUCUGAAACAUGCUUUAGUCAAGUCAUUGGACUAUAGUAAUUUAACUCCGACAUUUCCAAGUCUCUUUUAGUGGUCAGAUCAUGUUAUUCACCAACCAAUGAUACCUCGGCUUGAACGACAAACAUCUUUAGAACAUUCUACAAACAUACUUCUACUAUGUACUAGGACUGCAUCAUACGGGAUGUAGGUCAAACUUUCGAGAACAUACUCUUACUCUUUACUUAAGCGAUCGAAAUACAUCUAGGUUCAACCAUAAUAUCUCAUGAACUCCUUUUUCUUUCGUGUUACAGAAUCAUGUCGUCGAAGAAAAGUAAUCAACCCAUCAGCCUAACACCAACUCUUUAGAUUGAUGCAGCUACCUUUCAAGCUGCAGUCUCAGCUGCCGUGACAGCUGUUCUGACUCACGUUAACGCUAACAACGCAAAUGUUAGUGGGAUGGUUUUCAAUAAUUCCAAUCCAAGUAACAACCAAGUAUACCCACAAGUAACAAACUACCACGACACUCCGAACCUCAAACCAAAGAGCAAUAAACAAAAAUUCUGGGAUAGAGUUAAAGGCAAAUCACCUCGAGGGACAAACAAGAAACCAUCGCCGGUGGCAGCCUUCGCAGCCAUGACAUCUGCAACUCCUACCACCAACACUACUAGUAUCCCAAUUAUCCUUAACCCGACCAGACAGUAUGCUGGAAACCUACCGAAUUGCAAUAAGUGCAGCUUCCAUCACCUAGGUAGUUGUCGUCUGUUACACUGCAAGACCUACAACAAGAACGGACACACUACCCGCUUCUGCAGGACUUGGGUCCAACACAUUAUUUCAACCACCAAUGUUGAAAUUUCUCGGAUAUGCCAUCUAUGUGGUUUAAUGGGACACUUCAACAGGGACUGGCCAACAGAGAAGAAUGACAGUGGAAUAGGAGGAGUUUGACCUCAUAAUGGAAAAAGGCAAUAAAGGACCCAACUAUAAUAGGGACUCACUUCCAAUCGCCAGCAUUAAUUAUGCUGUUAAACAGGUUUAAAACUAGUGCAACUCGAGUCUUAUCUUUUGAGAAAUCCCGUCAGAAAAGGGGACCCUCGUGUUGCGUAUACUUGCCUUUUGUAGUAUACCUUGUUCGCAACAAUUGUCUUGUUGUAAAACCAAAGUACUGUAACUCUGUUAAAGUUGCACUAUUGUGUUUUGUCUGUAACACCCUUAUGAUCAAAUCUAAUACCUUUAUUUUCAAGUAAGUCUGAUACCAUCAUACAACUUGACUCAAUUCGAUCCUCGCUAUACCAGUUUCGUGCGUACUUCUCCUUCUCCGAAAAACGUCUUUCUAGCGAAGCCGUCAUUCCAGAACACCGAAGUACUCAUGCAUAGAGUACCUCAUGUUUCUUAUCCUUUCCAAAGAAACCUCAGCAAACCUCCCCGAAGUACCACUCGUUCAGUACGUCAAAGUUCAAUCCAAAGACCCACCUUUUCAAUCUUAAUUAUACGACUUGUAUACACGAGAUUGUGAUUGAUGAACCAGGUAUGAGUUCUACUAUGAACGUCAGGACUGUGACUGCCCAAGACUUCGAGUGAUUGUGCUUCCGUAAGAAUAAACUUAGAAAUACCUAUCCUUUUCUGUAAUUCAUGAGUAGUCAUACUUUCUUUUAGAUCUUCACGACAUCUAAUCCACCCCAAGGUUUUGACAUCAUAAUCAGUGGGAGUUGAUUAAGUCUACAUCGAGCCGACAUCAAAUGCUUUGAUAAAGCAGUUCGUCCUAACCUCCCUAAACAACGAAGCCCUAGUUAUUUACAGUGACGAACCAAGUACGAAC